AGUUGCGAAGGCGGCUCUCUGGACUGUAACUGACGCUGAGGCACGAAAGCGUGGGGAGCAAACAGGAUUAGAUACCCUGGUAGUCCACGCUGUAAACGAUGAGUACUAGGUGUCGGGGGUUACCCCCUUCGGUGCCGCAGCUAACGCAUUAAGUACUCCGCCUGGGAAGUACGCUCGCAAGCGUGAAACUAAAAGGACUUGACGGGGACCCGCCCAAGUAGCGGAGCACGUGGUUUAAUUCUGAGCAACGCGAAGAACCUUACCUCAGCUUGACCUCCCUAUGACCUCUCCUUAAUCGGAGAGUAUCCAUAGGGGACAUCGGUGACAGGUGGUGCAUGGUU
RNAcentral lists this ribosomal RNA (341 nucleotides) under Clostridioides difficile. RNAcentral describes it as "bacterial SSU rRNA". It matches the Rfam family "Bacterial small subunit ribosomal RNA", at positions 711 to 1050 of the family's 1533-position model. The record is from RNAcentral. Lineage: Bacteria; Bacillati; Bacillota; Clostridia; Peptostreptococcales; Peptostreptococcaceae.